Triticum urartu is the source of this 5461-nucleotide non-coding RNA. The record is from RefSeq and is a predicted model, not a curated record. NCBI's taxonomy places the organism in Eukaryota, Viridiplantae, Streptophyta, Magnoliopsida, Poales, Poaceae.
CAGGUACGACAAAAAUAAAACACGGUAGCGAGUGGGUGAGAGGGAAAAGGAGCAGCAUCCGCAGCACGCAGCGGUGCCCCAAUCCCGCCGCCGCCCCAAUCCCACCACCGGCGGCCUCCUCCUCCCCUAACGCUGCCGCUCUAGCCCCUCACCUUCCUCGGCCGAUUUAGCGCCGUUGCCGCCCCUCAGCACGCAACCUCUCCUCUCCUUCGCGGCUCCGCCUCUUCCUCCGGCGGCAUCCAACCCAAUCGUCAUCUCCUACCCCCCUCUCUUAUUCCCCUGUGCCUCGACGAGGUGGGCCAAGCCGGCGCACGCAGCAAAGGGCGGCUGCGGAUGCAGCUCGGACGCGGGCGCGUGGAGGUGGAGGCGGAGCUGCGGCGGCUGGUGGUGCACGGGAAUCCCGCCGACCGCGUCCCUCCCCAAACUGCAGCGAUGAUGGAGGGAGCCGCCACCGGCCAGCUACCGACCGACGGGCUCGCCGGGUCGCCGUUCCUCGGGGCCACCACCUCGCCCCGUGCCGGAUCGCGCAUCGGCUUGGAGGCCCCUCUGGGCUGCCGCCGGUGCAGGAGGCGUCCGCGGCCAUGCGGGCGGGGGACCGAGCGACGGGGCCCGUGGUGUGUUCCGGUCGAGGGCUUGCUCGAUCUGGCACGCGAUCUGAGCCCCCGUCGAUGGAUUUCUCGCAGCUUGGCUGCGUUUUGUUUUGGAUUCAGUACGACCCACAUCUCUCUCUCUCUCUCUCACAUGUUGCGGCCGAAAUCACUGUUUUGACUUAUUUGGAAAAGUCCAGCACAAAAUGAACCAUGUUGGAAACAUAUCGGGGGCGAUGAUGAUAAAACAUGGCUGACAUAAACUUGUCUUUGAUUAUUCGAGGACCUGUGGGCAUAAAAAACCCACUCCCCCCUCUUUUGGAACCUUUUCAUUCUCACUGAAUAUUGGGCUCUGUCUUGGAUGGUCACUCUUUGAGUGAUAACUAGAGGAGCUCGACUUCAGUGGUGGGGAUUGAUCUGGUGCAAGAAGACGGUGGAGCCGUGGAGCUAGGUUGUAUGAUCUAUCAAAGGCGAAUCUGAGCCCUCCCACAUCUCAAUGCAACUAAUAUUGUGGCCUCUACACAUUUAUUUAUCUCCUUUUUAUGUUUAAAAGUGAUGAAUUGUUGUGGUUGUGGCAUCUGCUAUCUCAUUAAGAGCAGCUACGCACAUAUCACCUCUCGUGGUGUUUGGUUUGCCUUCUCAUGAUUUUGUUGUCCAUGGUGGGAACCAGUUUGGUGCAUUCAGACUUUUUCUUUUUCUGUUUUUACUUUUCCUUGAAUGGCUGUGAUCAUUCAGCUGUCCCUUGGAUAGUUUAUUUUAGGUUAUUUUAUUGGGUUUGGGUCAGUUUGCUUGUUUCAAUUGCUGUUUUACUUUUUAUAAUAUCUUUCUUCUACUAUACUAUUUAUCUACUUAUCAGUUUGCACUUUUGGUUACUCCCCACUUCUUAACUGGUUUCAACUUAUGGGUCAUAUAGGGAAAGUUCAGAUGUCAAGAUAACAGUUUCCUUCCUGUCAUGUUCAUGAAUGGCUAUGAUGAUAUAGCUUUCCUGCGUCGAUCUAACAUCUGUUUGGAUUUUGUAGAGGCAGAAUUCGUUUGUGCGUCGAUCUAACAUCUGCGCCUUUUAAUAUUCUGGAUUGAUGCGCUUUGUAGUGGCAGAAUUCGUGUUUAAUUUAUUGCAGGAGAUGAAAUUGAGAGGCUGAUGUAAAUUCGUUUGUGUGUAGAUUUUGUCAGUUCUAGGAUUGGAUGUUUAUGCAGUCUCUGUGUCUCUCCUGGAGGUUAGCCGAUUGAUGGAUUUGACUGCUGAUCCCUUUGUGUUGGCUGAUGGUGUUGAGAUAGAAAUAAGGAUUAAACAUGACCCUGAUGCUGAGGCAAUAUUUCAAUAUCAUUAGAGGGCCUGUGUUCUUCCAAAGAUGAUUUAGAAUCUCAAAAACGUUUCUUACGUAGUCAGGAAUUUGGGUUCAUGGUUGAAGUAACAAAUACAUAUGCAGGUUCUUGGUUCUGUCGUUUACAAUUCCUUUUUUAGGUAUAUUUACAACCUUUGUUGUUCCAUAUAGUUUGUUUCUUAAUAUCCUAAGCACAUAUUAUCGAAUAGACUCACUUUCCUGUUUUUGUGAUAAAAUGAAAAGAAUAAUGUACAUGGUAAGGACAUGAUAAAUCUUCUUCUUUCAAUUUGGUUAUGAUUUGAGAAUGCUCACAUAUAUUUCUGUGCUGCAUCACCCCAUGGUCUGUGAUAGUGUCCAACUAGGGAUUUGAAUGUCAGGACCUAGCUAAUACUAUGAUGUUAUCAGGUUAAUAAAUAAUACAGUACUGUUUAGCUAUCAGGUUCUAUGAGUAUGGCCGGGGUGAAUCCUUCAACUUUGCUCAUAGGCACUGAAAGAAUAAAUAAUUGAUCUUUCAUUUCUUCAUGAAAAAUAUGUCAUUUCGUUUUUAAAGAAAAGUUAUAUGAAAAGUUGUAGUAGAACACUGCUAGCUGUAAUUCCCCAUGUGUCUUGGCAUUCUAGGUGGAGUGGGAACCUUUCAGAGGAAGUAUCAAGCGGCACGAGCACCUAUGGUAGAAUGAUGUGUUGACAGUGUACCUAAUCCACCUGUAUUGACAAUGCAUAUAAUUUUUAAAAUCAAGAUUAUAUUAUCAGCUGCAAUCUCUGUUCCCUUUUAAACUCAAGACUUUUAAACAAGAUCAUAUACAUUGUGAACCAAAGAUAGUUGAGUAUACAGUUUAAUUGUGCAAUUUGUUCUAUUAGAAAAAUUACUAUUGUGUUGAAUCCUUGCUGUGGUGUGCUAAAUUGUUUCCUUAUGUUUGUACCUGCCAGUUCUAAGCACCUAUUCUUUUCUUCUUAUUUUGUAUCUAUACAUAACAAUUCUAUUUUUCUUACCUCUGCAAUUAUGCGACCUGUAGCUUAUUCACAUGGAUCUUAAGGUACUGAACUUCCAAAUUAGAACCUGGCCUAAAUUUGAGAUUUCCCGAAUGUAUACUUAUGUUUUUCUUUCAUUCUUUGGAGGUAAUCCGUUGGUUGCUUAAUGCUCCUUAAUGCAUGAGUAAAUUUCUUUUUCUUUAUUUCUAAAGUCAGUUUUAUUUUCUUCGUGAAGGUUUCCCGACGCAAAUAUAUAGUGAAAGCGGUUUGAGAAAAGAAGCAAAUCGUUCGAGCCAACCUAUUUAUAUGGUGUGGAGAAUAUAAGGUUCUUGGCUUAUUGAUAUCAUCUGGUCAUUUUUAUAGGUGCCUGACUACAUAAUGAACUUUCUAGCUGUGUUGAUGACAACAAGAAGAAAAGCUUCUUUGACCAGGUUUGCUGACUUAAUUCAAGCUAUCCUGGUGGACUGACAUCAUACAUCCAGAAUGCCAAAAGGCUCUUGGUAGAUUGCAAGGCAGGAUAAAAUCCAUACGAUGGUUCCACACCUUCACUGCAGGAUAUGUAACAGCCUUCAGAUUACAUGAUCUGAAAUAGCUCGGUGAACUUUCUUCCCACAUCAUGUCAGAAUUCUAUAUGGAGUCAUCUUGGCACAUUAUUUAAUAGUAAUAAAGGCAAAAGAGAAACUUCCAUGUCUCGGUACAUUUUAAUUUCAGAGAACUCGGCAUUCAGACCUCGUUGGCGCUGGGCUAGAUGGGCUUGCUGGUAUUUUAUAGUCUGGUCAUAAGCAGAUUUGUUAUCUUCAAGUAAAGCUAAAUGUGAGCCACACCAACUUCCUUUAGUUCUUGAGAAUUUUGUUGCUGUCCUUCGGAUUAACAGUCUGCCACAGUGCUCAUGGCUCUUGCAUUCACUCAAGAAUCAGGUCAAGUGUGGUGAGUGUCGUGCUUCUGAAUAUGUCGUUCUACACUUGACAUUGCAGCGCCCAUGUAUUAGAAUUUGCAUUAUUGCCACAAAUGAUUCCAGUAACUAGAAUCCAUUUUAGGGAACAGAAGCUGACAGGUACAAGCUAACCACCCUUGCAUAACUCGUUAGGUAGCAAUGGUGAUAGAUAAAUUGGCUAGCACUUGCAAUUAGCAACUUGUUUGCCUGUCGUACUUGGCAAAAUCUGUACUUGGCAAUCUACUACUUUUUAUUUGAUGAUUGGUUCAGGAAAUAGUACCUAGCUUCAGUUAAGUUAACUAUCGAUUUGUUUCAGGGUCAAUCUCUAUUCUUAGCAAAUUCCCAUGUUAGAGAAAAUCUGUAGUAUAAAUUAAGUGACAUCAUGAAACAUUUUGAAUCAAGAUAACAAAGAAGAAUUACAAGUUUGAUAAAGCAUGAGGGAUCAUUCAUUCAUUUACUUCUGAUCCCUUUAAGACUGCUGCUUCUCUGUUGAUACAAGACUAUUAAUAUAUAUCAAACCCCUAAACUUGCUUUGGUUUUUGAAUGUGAUUUUUAACCAGCAACAUGGACCUGCCACUCAUCUGUACUGCCUGUCUUCUUGCUAAAAUAAGUUUAGUAAUACUGCUAUGCACAUGCCAUACCAACAGCGCCAAAAAGCAACAAGUAUGGUAGCCUAAUUAGUAGCGCACCUUACCGCCUUAGUUGCAUCCUGAUGCUUUACAUCCUCUAGAUGUUUUUCUGAUUUUUUUUGCAUCCUCUAGAUGAACUCUUUUUACUGAACCUUCUACCAUUGUUGGUAGCUGAUGUUUAGAAGUCCAAGCAGCUGAACAUUUUACAGAUUCAUAUAUACCCCCUGUAACGAAGAAGUGGGUGUUUCCAUGGAUGGAUCGGUUUUAAUCUAUGCAUAUAUAUCACGCUUGAGGUCAGUUGUGUUUUCUCAGGUUUACGUAGGAAUGACAACUGUUUUCAGAAGCAAAAAACUUGAAUUGGGAAUGGAACCCUUGAUGUAUUGAUGUUUGCUGAAGAAAGUUCUUGCAGCAAAGAAGAACAUGAAGCAGUCCAACCAACUGCUCCGAGAGGAACCAAGGCGACGUGCAAGUUGGCGUCUGUGAAGCUUUGUCGGAGCCAUUCCUGCUCUUCCAAAGCCACAAGGAGAGCCUAAAAGUUAGGGCAGAAGCGUGUCCGGCUGUCGUACGAGAAGAAGUGUGCACGCCUGAGGAGCCAGGGCGCCGAUGGUGCGGAGUCGUUCGCCAUCAAGAGGACCAAAGCUGCCAUCAGUGACCACCGGAUCAAGCUCAACAUCUCCCUCGCCUCCGUCAACGCCCUGUCCCAGAGGGUCGUCGUCGUCCACGAUGAGCCUGCAGCUCGCGGAGCUCAUCCAAAUGCGGGCAAAGACGUGGCGACUCAUCGGCGACGUGCACCGGGUGAUGUAGCGCAUAGCGGACGAGGCGAGCGUGCUCCUCUCGUUGUUGGCCACAUGGCUGGAGGGAGGCAUCAAGGGCUCGCUGCUACCGGGGCGGACACGCGCACAAUUUAUAUUGAUAUAUCUUAUUUUGCUAAACAGCAAGAUAUAUGCUCAUGAUGCUAUUAACCUGAUAGUGAAUUUCAGUUUCUUUCGCAUGAUACAUCAAUAAAUAUAUAGAGAUCCA